RNAcentral lists this ribosomal RNA (185 nucleotides) under uncultured eukaryote. RNAcentral describes it as "partial 28S ribosomal RNA". It matches the Rfam family "Eukaryotic large subunit ribosomal RNA", at positions 1280 to 1464 of the family's 3401-position model. The record is from RNAcentral.
GUGUAACAACUCACCUGCCGAAUGAACUAGCCCUGAAAAUGGAUGGCGCUGAAGCGAACCACUUAUACUCAACCACUAGGCCAAGUGCCAAGGCCUAGUGAGUAGGAGGGCGUGAAGGUUGUUGCGCAGCUUAUACCGUGAGGUUAAGUGAAACGGCCUUUAGUGCAGAUCUUGGUGGUAGUAGC